CGAAACCAGAAGAGGGCGUAUGGCUAGAGUUUCACCCUAAGAAGAAAGGGGAAGCAGGUGGAAAAGCAAUUAAAAAAAAAUCAGCAUCUCUCUCUAGCCUAUUAUCUCCUGUUAGACACAGCCCAGAAAAUGAAUAGAGACAAGUCCUGGCUGGGUCUGGGUUCAGAAACAUAAUAGAAGGAUUCAUCUAAUCUGUCGGCCACUGUGGAGGAAGUGAACCUUCUAGAUCCUGCUGACUCAUACAAUGAGUUUUGUGUGGACCAUCAGACAAAAGGGCUGGCUGGUGAAGGUGGCUGUUGUCUGGAAAUUCCUCCCAGCUCUCCUCUAAUUAUGUCAUAAGGACUGGAGGCCCCUUAGCCUGCUUGUGAUAACACGCAAGGAAAUAUGGGCCAACUCUUCACAUGAACACAAGAUAUUUCCAUGCUAGCCUUUUGCAAGUAACAACAGAGAGAGCUCUGUGCAGUUUUCACUGGAAUGCCUGUGGAUUGCUUGUGUCAUAACUGUAAUCUAAAGAGUUGUCCAUUUGUUGAUUCCUUUGUAUUUGUAUUGGUAGAAUUGCCACUAUCAAACCAAGAUCUUUAGCUGCCUUUGUAUCAACUUCUUUGGAGCUUAUGUGAUUUUCCAGAAAAUUUCCAAGGCAUAGUUUUGUCCCUAAGUCCCAUGAAUAUGUAAUAUUUUG
This 679-nucleotide long non-coding RNA is filed under the name Homo sapiens (human). RNAcentral describes it as "non-protein coding lnc-ITGB8-2:6". The record is from RNAcentral. Lineage: Eukaryota; Metazoa; Chordata; Mammalia; Primates; Hominidae.